CCUUUUUUGGCAGAAAAGUGCAUUAAAUUUAGAAUUUAAAUAUAAUUAGUAGUUAAAAAGGA
Molecule: transfer RNA, 62 nt
Filed under: Ergasilus tumidus
Lineage: Eukaryota; Metazoa; Arthropoda; Copepoda; Poecilostomatoida; Ergasilidae
Description: tRNA-Leu
Source: RNAcentral